RNAcentral lists this ribosomal RNA (253 nucleotides) under uncultured bacterium. RNAcentral's name for it is "partial 16S ribosomal RNA". It matches the Rfam family "Bacterial small subunit ribosomal RNA", at positions 524 to 776 of the family's 1533-position model. The record is from RNAcentral.
UACAGAGGGUGCGAGCGUUAAUCGGAAUUACUGGGCGUAAAGCGCGCGUAGACGGUUUUGUAAGUCGGAUGUGAAAUCCCCGGGCUCAACCUGGGAACUGCAUUCGAUACUGCUUGGCUAGAGUACGGUAGAGGGAAGCGGAAUUUCCGGUGUAGCGGUGAAAUGCGUAGAUAUCGGAAGGAACACCAGUGGCGAAAGCGGCUUCCUGGACCAGUACUGACGUUCAUGUGCGAAAGCGUGGGGAGCGAACAGG